RNAcentral lists this ribosomal RNA (504 nucleotides) under uncultured bacterium. RNAcentral describes it as "bacterial SSU rRNA". It matches the Rfam family "Bacterial small subunit ribosomal RNA", at positions 28 to 524 of the family's 1533-position model. The record is from RNAcentral.
GACGAACGCUGGCGGCGUGGAUUAGGCAUGCAAGUCGAACGGUAUCAUCCUUUCGGGGGUGAGAGAGUGGCGAACUGGUGAGUAACACGUAGGUUAUCUACCCUCAAGACGGGGACAACCCAGGGAAACUUGGGCUAAUACCGGAUGUGAGCAACUUUUAGUUGCUUGAAAGGUGGCGUAAGCUGUCGCUUGGGGAUGAGCCUGCGUCCUAUUAGUUAGUUGGUGAGGUAACGGCUCACCUAGGCAAUGAUAGGUAGGCGGCCUUAACGGGUGGUCGCCCACACUGGGAUUGAGAUACGGCCCAGACUCCUACGGGAGGCAGCAGUCGAGAAUAGUCUACAAUGGUCGGAAGACUGAUAGUGCGACGCCGCGUGAACGAUGAAUCCCUUCGGGGUGUAAAGUUCUUUUAUAUGUGAGCAGUGCUUCUUAUAUUAACAGUAUGGGGAGAGAGAUAUUAGCAUAUGAAUAAGCAACGGCUAACUCCGUGCCAGCAGCCGCGGUAAA